GUGGGAAGCUAAAAUCAACCCUUGGCUUGUUACGUGAGCUCAAACUAGUACCUAGUGAGUGUUUCAUGUACUGAACUUGGAUUUCCGGUGUUUUUGUAACAUCCAUGUAAGGUUUCGUUCGGUAUAUUAAAUCCAAUGAAAUUAUCAAAGUGGGCUGUACUAUGUUGGACAGAAUUUUAUGUUUGGACUUGGGUGAAUGUAACCAGACUUAUACUCUCAGAUUUUGUCAUAGUUGAUGGUGUGAGGACUUAUAA
Molecule: non-coding RNA, 254 nt
Organism: Aegilops tauschii subsp. strangulata
Lineage: Eukaryota; Viridiplantae; Streptophyta; Magnoliopsida; Poales; Poaceae
Source: RefSeq, a predicted model, not a curated record